GGUCUCAGAGCGUUCUGUCGCGGCCUCCUCCUCGUUUCCUUGUGGGUUCUAACCCUAGUCUUUAGCCGAGGGAGGAAGAGGGAGAGAGGAAUCGAGGUGAUGGAAUCGAAUUCGAUGGAUGGAUAUUUGGAGAACAACGGGAACCACGCGCCUUUUGAUGGGCCCCUGAAGGUCAUCAUCGACACGGAUCCUGGGAUAGAUGAUAGCAUGGCCAUAUUAAUGGCAUUUCAAAAACCAGAGAUUGAAAUUUUAGGUUUGACAACAAUUUUUGGAAACGUGAGCACUGAAGAUGCUACUUGCAAUGCCUUGCUUUUGUGUGAGAUCGCUGGACAUCCUGAGGUUCCAGUAGCAGAAGGAAGCCAUGAGCCUUUAAAGGGAGGAAAGCCACAUGUUGCUGAUUUUGUUCAUGGUUCGGAUGGUCUUGGCAAUAUAUUUCUCCCACCACCUUUGGGAAAACAGAUAGAGAAAACUGCAUCAGAAUUUUUGGUUGAGAAGGUUUCUCAGUAUCCUGGUGACGUGUGCAUCCUUGCAUUGGGACCGUUAACAAAUUUAGCAUUGGCCAUCAAAAGAGACUCUUCCUUUGCAAACAAGGUGAAGAAGGUGGUUGUUCUUGGUGGGACUCUCUUUGCUGCUGGAAAUGUCAACCCUGCUGCGGAAGCUAAUAUUUAUGGAGACCCAGAAGCAGCUGAUGUGGUCUUUACAUGUGGAGCAGAUGUAGUAGUUGUGGGGAUAAACGUCACUACUCAGGUCAAACUUACAGAUGCAGACCUCUCUGAGCUAAGAAACUCCAAAGGAAAACACUCGCAAAUCUUGUAUGACAUGUGCAAGUUUUACCGAGACUGGCAUGUCAAAUCUGAUGGUGUUUAUGGUAUUUUCCCACAUGAUCCUGUAAGCUUUGCUGCUUUAGUUCGUCCAGACCUUUUCACAUUCAGAAAGGGGGUUGUGAGGGUUGAAACACAGGGCAUUUGCAUUGGGCAUACAUUGAUGGACCAAGGAUUAAAAAAGUGGAGCACCAGCAAUCCUUGGACAGGUUAUUCACCAGUAUCAGUUGCAUGGGCGGUUGAUGCGCCUGGAGUUCUUUCUUUUAUCAAACAACUGUUCAUGAAACCAUGAACUGAGAAAGGGUGACCGAAAGAAGUAAAUCACGUCUAUUUGGUCGCCUUUGGCAGAUAUUUUAAACCAAAAAUUGCUAUUUGCAAGUCUAAUAAGGAAGUGUAAUUGGAAUGAUUAACGAGGAAGAAUGAGUCCGAACAGGGAAGUCGGCAGUGGGAAUGGGACUGAUAGUGGAGGGGAGAAAGGCAUGGUCGAAUGUGAUUGGACUUGAGUGGCUUUUCCGAGGCAUCUCUUCAUGUCGAUUACGAUGUGUGCAAGGUGGUGUGGCCAUUGAUGACCACCAAUGAAACCGCCGAAGAGAGGAUAAGCGGAUUGUUAUGAACUCUAUCUACUCUAUGGCGUUGUUGUCACUGCUUCUGCGAGUGCGGUAAGACGAUGACCAGAUUGCAAUGGCAUUUGUCUGCCAUGAUGCGGAACGUGAGGGCUGGUGCAACGCCCCAAUUUAGUCCCCAAGUGCGGUAUUUGUAAGGGUGAUGAGUGCAUUACUGUUAGUUUCAGAUUAAAUAUUUUGAGCCAAUGAUUAAAGAUUAAUUAAUUAUCA
Musa acuminata subsp. malaccensis (wild Malaysian banana) is the source of this 1654-nucleotide RNA transcript. It is a transcript of the gene named probable uridine nucleosidase 1, with no coding region annotated. NCBI's taxonomy places the organism in Eukaryota, Viridiplantae, Streptophyta, Magnoliopsida, Zingiberales, Musaceae. The record is from RefSeq and is a predicted model, not a curated record.